RNAcentral lists this non-coding RNA (128 nucleotides) under Microcebus murinus (gray mouse lemur). Lineage: Eukaryota; Metazoa; Chordata; Mammalia; Primates; Cheirogaleidae. The record is from RNAcentral.
GUGUUACAUGAAAGGAGAGAAGACUAGCACUCCCCUUGACAAGGGUGGAAGAGAUCCCAGGCCUGACAACAACACAUACACAGUUGAGGCAUUGCCACCUACUUUGUGGCACCCAACCAUUGUUUAAA